CGCGAGGGGGCGGGGACAGCGGGCGCGGCCCCGCCGGUACCGAGCGGCGCCCCCCGCCCCACCCGGUGCCAAACACACACCGACAGCCGCGCACACACACCGACACGCGAUUUAACAGUUUUAUAACGACGGUACAAAAAUUUCCAUCAACGACUGGCUAAAACGGACGGACCUGGGGUGGGGAGCGGGUACCGGGACCGUCCCCAGCACCGGAGCAGGGGGCAGCGGGACUGCCCCGUCAAUGUGGAAGGGGACACCAGGAGCGCUGCACAGUCCCGGAGAUGGCCCCUGCAAGGGUAAUAACCGAACUGGGGGCAGCGCUGUGAUGCACCAGGAAGGCUCAGCCCUCACCGAGCCGGUGCACCGGAGUCAGAGCCUUGCCCAUAGUGAAGGCGUGACACCGGCAUGGCCAGCACCGUCCCGGGUCCCCUGGUAGGUCCUGGUGCCAGGCAGUGCCCAGUGAGCAGCCACAGCCAGCGCAUGGCAGUGGCUCUCUGGCUGGCGGGGGGGGCGACAGCUACAAAAAAUGGGUGUUUGGUCCUAAAUCGGUGGGGGAAAGCUGUACAAGGCGGCUGAACGGUGGCUCAGCCGUCGUUGGCGGUCACCAGCUGUCCCAUGCCCUCCCGGAUGUAGACCGACUGGAUCUCCUUCGUCUUGAGGCAGAAGUCACAGGCCCAGACGGCAGAGGCCUCCGUGGUGAGCAGCCCAUAGGCAUUCUCGGUCAUCCCCGUGCACUCUCGGUGGAACCACUUCUGGCAGGAGGCCUCGCAGAGGAUGGCGUCCUGGUCAUCGUUCACCUCAUUGCGACAGGCCCCGCAGGGGUACACGAGCCCUGGAGGCGGCUGGUGCCCCGAGGCGCUGCUGGCCUUGCCGGGGGGCGGCAGGGGGAGGCUGUUGGUCUCAGGGGUGCUGGCGCUGCGCCCGGCGCUGCUGGGGGCGAAGCCCGGCUGUGCCCCGUUGACGGUGGCGGGGGAGCCCGAGUGCUGCUCCUGGGCGAAGGUGCUGGGGGGAGGGUUCUUGCCCCCCUCUUCGCUGCUAGCAGGGAAGCUGGGAUCCGCCCCAGGGAAGGGACUGGCUGUGGGGGGCAGGGGUGGCAUGUUCUGCCCGGGGCGCUGCAUGGGCGAUUGUCCAAAGAGGUUGCUGGGCUGGCUGAAGCGCUGAGCCACUGCCGGGCCCCCGGGGGGGUUGAGGGCUGGCCCGGGUCCCAUGUCCCCCCGCGGGGGCUGCCCCAUAGUGGGGGACAUCAUGGGCCCGAAGCCGGCAACAGGCCCCUGCAUGAGCUGCCCCAUAGGGGGGCUGAAGUUCUGUCCAAGGGGCUGGCUGAAAGGCUGCCCGGCGAAGCUCAAGCCCCCCGGCUGCACGUAGUUUGGAUUCUGGGGGGGCAUGCUAAAGGCCGGG
RNAcentral lists this long non-coding RNA (1398 nucleotides) under Lonchura striata (white-rumped munia). Its description in RNAcentral is "domestica (Bengalese finch) lncRNA (ENSLSDG00000000338.1)". Lineage: Eukaryota; Metazoa; Chordata; Aves; Passeriformes; Estrildidae. The record is from RNAcentral.